GCCAGCACUCCAGCACUAUCUGCUGUUAAUGGAAGAAGAGUAAUCCUGGGGGACAAACGUGUGUGCAACUAGCUGUGGACAACUUGUCUCAGGAAAACAGUAAAGAGGACUCACUCGGCAAGUCUGGCGACGGGAAUAUUUCUUUACUAUGUCGUGGCCAGGUUAGCCCACGGAUACGUUCAGCCCUGGCUAUAAAGCAGUAUGGACUCCUAUAUGGGAGAAAAGCCUAACUUAUUGUGGGAGCACAAGAAAAACUGCGAUUCAACUGAAGUAAGAAGAAAAUACUUUCAGAAAGCUGUCUGAGAAAUAAAGUGUCCUAUUAACGGCAGUUUCAUUGUAAUCUAGGGAAUAAUGUAAUUCACAGCUACCUAGCCUCAGAUAGAAAAUUUCCACAGAGGGGCUCAGGGGGUUUAAGUCAAUUGUAAAAACACUGCAGGAUUGCUAAUUAAUGCACAGUAAGCUCAGGAUUGGGUAGGUGGCCUCGUACUGAAUACUCAUUUUGGAAUAGACUGCCAAAUAGUUUUUCCUUUUUUCUUUUUUUUUUUUUAAACUGGGGUAGUCAAGAGCCUUUUGAAUUUGCUGUAGUUAAUUGUGAAAUUAUUGUCUGAUGCACCAGAAGCUUUGAAAGAGCAUGACAUUUUGGCAAAGACAAACAUUUUCUUCCCAGAAAAAAAGCACUUGACGCUUGGCAUUUCUUCUUGCUGCUGAUUGCACCACCGACUGGUGGGAUUGGUUGAAAGGAUGGCCAGGCACAAAGAGAGCUGAAUUGAGGGCUCUGGCGUAGAGAAAUCUAAUUAAAAUCAGUCUGUCGCUAGACCUGGACACAAAAGAAAACCCAUUAUUUCACAUCUAUUAGAAGUGAUCUGGAGCAGGUUAUCUACAUCAUAAAAACAGAAGAAAGAAGCAGUGUGAGUGAUGGCGUACCAAAAGCCAACUUCCAGUUGAAGACACCCCAGGGGCUGAGGCUAAAACAGUAAUGUCUUUAGUGGUAAUGUUAGGCAUGUGAUUCUUUCUUACUCUUUUCUUGUGAGGGGUCAAACUACUGUUCUGUUUUCCCAUUAUAAUAUAUUUUCAUGUUCUGAGGAUUUGUUGGUCUUUUUAUCUUCUAAUUGUUGGGUUAGUGGCUUGGAAUUGGGCUCAAACACCCAAGCACCUUGUUCUGCGAUUCUGAGAAAAUCAUCAGCUUGCUUGUGCUAACAUUAUAUGAUGGAGUAUCUGUGUCAGUUCUAAUGUGAAUAUAUACUAAUAAAAGGUAGUCACUGACUGACUGACCUGACUGACUGACUGA
Polypterus senegalus (gray bichir) is the source of this 1288-nucleotide long non-coding RNA. RefSeq lists it as uncharacterized. Lineage: Eukaryota; Metazoa; Chordata; Cladistia; Polypteriformes; Polypteridae. The transcript is spliced from 3 exons. The record is from RefSeq and is a predicted model, not a curated record.